RNAcentral lists this ribosomal RNA (591 nucleotides) under Pichia manshurica. RNAcentral describes it as "eukaryotic LSU rRNA". It matches the Rfam family "Eukaryotic large subunit ribosomal RNA", at positions 38 to 655 of the family's 3401-position model. Lineage: Eukaryota; Fungi; Ascomycota; Pichiomycetes; Pichiales; Pichiaceae. The record is from RNAcentral.
GCAUAUCAAUAAGCGGAGGAAAAGAAACCAAUAGGGAUUGCCCCAGUAGCGGCGAGUGAAGCGGCAAGAGCUCAGAUUUGAAAUCGUGUUUCGGCACGAGUUGUAGAGUGUAGGCGGGAGUCUCUGUGGAGCGCGGUGUCCAAGUCCCUUGGAACAGGGUGCCUGAGAGGGUGAGAGCCCCGUAGGGUGCUGCGCGAAGCUUUUGAGGCCCUGCUGACGAGUCGAGUUGUUUGGGAAUGCAGCUCCAAGCGGGUGGUAAAUUCCAUCUAAGGCUAAAUAUUGGCGAGAGACCGAUAGCGAACAAGUACUGUGAAGGAAAGAUGAAAAGCACUUUGAAAAGAGAGUGAAACAGCACGUGAAAUUGUUGAAAGGGAAGGGUAUUGGGCUCGACAUGGGGGGUGCGCACCGCUGUCUCUUGUAGGCGGCGCUCUGGGCGCCCUCUGGGCCAGCAUCGGUUCCUGCUGCGGGAGAAGGGGCUCCGGAAAGUGGCUCUUCGGAGUGUUAUAGCCGGGGCCAGAUGCCGCGUGUGGGGACCGAGGACUGCGGCUUCUGUCUCGGAUGCUGGCAUAACGGCGCAAUACCGCCCGUCUU